Canis lupus familiaris (dog) is the source of this 862-nucleotide long non-coding RNA. RefSeq lists it as uncharacterized. NCBI's taxonomy places the organism in Eukaryota, Metazoa, Chordata, Mammalia, Carnivora, Canidae. The record is from RefSeq and is a predicted model, not a curated record. The transcript is spliced from 4 exons.
ACGGCCUGCCCUGCCCGCCGCCCAGGGGCGCGGAACCGGGGUCGGCUUCCCUGGCGCACCGUGAACGCCCCGCAGGGCACCCCUAGGAGCUGGAGGGGAACGCGCAGUUUCCUGCCCCCGGGACACACACAGGGAUGGAGACAGUGAGGUUCAGAGAAAUAAAAGGAAAUGCGUCAGGCUAGCCGGUAAACAACGGAAGAAGUCUUUCCCUGUCCUGUCCGUGGGCCGAUCCUUGGAAAGUUCUAGGCACUGGGCAAUGGGUAUGAUUAUUCCCAUUUUACAGAGGAGAAAACCAAGGCUAUGACAUGUGCGAGGUCAUGCUGCUGCUAAGAAGCAGAAUAACACCCAGUCCUCAUCCCGUCAAGUGCCCAUCGGAAGAGGUGCUUCUUGCUGGAGGGUGGUUUCCUGGUGACCUGGUUUCCUGGUGAUCAGUGUAGCCUGUGAGCUGCCUGGGCCAUGUAGCAAUGGCUACCUCUUACCACUAGAUGGGGACCUGGAGUUGUCCAGACCUGGAGUCUAGGACUCUGGCUCCUGCUGCCCAGAGGCACUGCCCCUCCUGCCUCAGGCCUGCUUCAGAUCAAGGGUUCCCAUCUUGCCUUGUUAGACCCAAGCCCACUUCCUGUGCCUCCGUUCCAAUUUCUGGCUAGGUCCUGCUGCCAGGCAACAACACUGAAGGAAGAGACGGACCAUAGACUUUGUGCAGCCAGAGACCUGAGUUCUAAUUCCAGUUGCACCACACAAAAACAGACACAUAGUUCAAUGGAACAGAAUAGAGAACCCAGAAAUGGGCCCUCAACUCUAAGGUCAACUAAUAUUUGACAAAGCAGGACAGACUAUCCACUGGAAAAAGGACAAUCUCUUC